AAAUUUAAAUAGCUAGCAAGUAGAAAUUUAUAAUAUAUAUACAUAGAACUAGGCUGGAAUACUAUUAAUAGCACCAAUGACUUUGUGCUAUUAAGUUUUCUACUCUUGGAUUAAAAGAUGUGUGAUUAGGAUGAUGUGGGCCUCGUAGGGUUGAGUGGGUGGUUAGUUGAAUAGUAUAAUCGAACGGAUGAAAAUAAUAAAAGAGGUAAAUCUAACGGCAGAAAAUUUGAUAGCACCAAAUGCUUCAUGCUAUCGAUAGUAUUCCAGCCGGACUGUAUAUAUAUAUAUUCGAGUUAUAUCUAAUCGAGUAUGAACAAGUUGAUGCUAGCUCGCGUUUUGCUUGUUAAGAUUUCAACUUGAAAAUUUCAGUUCGUGCUUGGCUCCUCUAUUAAACAAAUCGAUUUCGAGCUCAUUUGGAGCCAACAUGUGCUGGCUCGCA
This 439-nucleotide long non-coding RNA is filed under the name Ananas comosus (pineapple). RNAcentral describes it as "long non-coding RNA (ACOM_LNC005947)". The record is from RNAcentral. Lineage: Eukaryota; Viridiplantae; Streptophyta; Magnoliopsida; Poales; Bromeliaceae.